Molecule: long non-coding RNA, 802 nt
Filed under: Sorghum bicolor (sorghum)
Lineage: Eukaryota; Viridiplantae; Streptophyta; Magnoliopsida; Poales; Poaceae
Description: long non-coding RNA (SBIC_LNC012530)
Source: RNAcentral
AGCACUGGGUUUGGUGUCGAACAGGUAGGUGGUAUCAGCAGAGGAUACAUCUAAGCCGGUGAGCAUAAGUACAUCGGCAUGUGUAGGGGAAACAGGGCCAUGGCCAAACAUGAAAGCAUUGAGUGUGUCUGACCAAAAGUAUGAGGCAGCUAUUAGUAGUGACUCAUUUCUCUCCAUAUCGGCAAGAGACAAUCUAAUGCACUGAUCUAAUUUCUGUUCACCCCAUUGGACCUCAUUUGAGUUACUGACUCUCAGGAACCAAUCCUUCCAUCCCUUGGUAGGACUGGGCCAGGAACGGAAAGCGUCUUUCCAUAGAUAUAUAGAAAAAUUCUCGGCUCUAAAGGGGAUUCUGUUUGACUCUGCAUUUAUAAGAUCGAUGGGAUCUAAAUUUCCUAGUGGGCCAAGGCAUUGAAGAUGAGGUUGAUCGGUAGGGAUUACGAUCUUGUCGGCUAAAUCCUAAAGAUUGUAAGGAUGAAAGAAAAGUAAAAGAAAAAAAAGGGGAGAAUAUUCAGUAAAAGGAAUUACGGAUGGACAGAGGUACAUCAAGAAUACGAAAAAAGAAGGAGAGUAAGCUAACCUCAGGGACGACGAAGUUGACGGCCAUUGCCUCAUAGAGAAGAAGAUCAAAAACUUGGGGGUUGUUGGAGGAAGUUCUUGCUAGAGUUCUUGGGGCUCUCGAACAGUGCCGCUGCUAGGAAAGCGGAGUUGGGGCUGUAGAAUGAUGCGAUGGGGAAGGAGUACCCGAGAAGGAAGUAUUUAUAGGACAAAACGGGCAAGGGCAAAUUUGACUUAUCUCUUCGCC